Brassica napus (rape) is the source of this 1088-nucleotide long non-coding RNA. RefSeq lists it as uncharacterized. The transcript is spliced from 4 exons. NCBI's taxonomy places the organism in Eukaryota, Viridiplantae, Streptophyta, Magnoliopsida, Brassicales, Brassicaceae. The record is from RefSeq and is a predicted model, not a curated record.
CCCGCUAAACACUUAAACUCUUGAAACUCAGUGUUUUCGAAAUUUGAGCUCCUCACAAUCUUUGAUUAACGCCAUUGGAGAAACUGAGAUGCGGAAGUCGGCGUGACGAUUCCGUUGGUUGGGGUUUCGAUCACGUCCUUUCACCUUCUUUCCUUCCAUCGAAACGAGAUAGCUUCCAGAUCCAUUGUAUUAAACAUUCCACGAUCUACACUUCAAUGUAUGUUAAUCUUCUUAGAGGCGGUGUUUCUACGGUAUAAAAAGGGGAAACAAAGGUAUCAACUUUAAGAAAUGGAGGCGAUGAUGCCGUAGCAGAAGCUCCGCCUUGGAAUCUGAGGACGAGGCGAGCUGCUUGUAACGAACCUGGAGAUGAGCCCACGAGGAUCACUGGCGUCAAGAGAGGUAGUAACGAAGGAGGUGGGGAUGGAGAUUCGCAGAAACUGAAAUUCUCUGUUUCUUUUGUUUCUUUGUUGAGGGAAUUAGUCGAAAAAGAUUUCACGGCCUUUGAUGGGAAAAAACCUCCUACAAGACCAAAGAAGAGACAAGAGAUAUUCAGAGUCAAAUGAAUAGGAAGUAACAGCAGGCUCUUAUGAUUUAUGACGUCUCUGAUGCUGCGGAAACAUGAUCAAAGAGGUGAGUGGAGUUUUUAAAAGAGACGAGUGGAGUUUUUAUUACCAGAGCUAAUAGCAAUGCAUCUUCUCAUGUUUGAUUUUUCAACAAAGAAAUCUCAUCUUUUACUGUUAAAAGAAGCUUUCAGUGUUAUUACAUCAGUAUAGUACUUCAAAAAUUGAGAUAAGGGUGACAAAUAAGAAUGAGGAGACCAAUGCAGUGUCGUGGAGCAAAGUCACAGCAUUGAAUUUGAGCUAUGUUCUUCAAAUUUUGCAUCUUCCAAGACCCGGAUAAGGGAGAAGAAAGUUGUAGUAUGUUAGGAGAGAUGGAAUGACUUAGACUGUUAGUUUGUAUAUGGUCAAUUUUUCAAUUUUUGGUUGUUAGUGUGCAUAGUUAUUAGUCUAUCACCUUAGUGACUUGAAACUUGGUCGCCCGAGAACAGAGACAGUCUUCUUCCAAUUUGUCUAAUAUUUUUUAUACCA